UACGUAGGGUGCAAGCGUUAAUCGGAAUUACUGGGCGUAAAGCGUGCGCAGGCGGUGAUGUAAGACAGAUGUGAAAUCCCCGGGCUCAACCUGGGAACUGCAUUUGUGACUGCAUCGCUGGAGUACGGCAGAGGGGGAUGGAAUUCCGCGUGUAGCAGUGAAAUGCGUAGAGAUGUGGAGGAAUACCGAUGGCGAAGGCAGCCCCCUGGGAUAACACUGACGCUCAUGCACGAAAGCGUGGGGAGCAAACAGG
RNAcentral lists this ribosomal RNA (253 nucleotides) under uncultured bacterium. RNAcentral describes it as "partial 16S ribosomal RNA". It matches the Rfam family "Bacterial small subunit ribosomal RNA", at positions 524 to 776 of the family's 1533-position model. The record is from RNAcentral.